GAGCGGAUGAGUGAGCUUGCUCAUGGAUUCAGCGGCGGACGGGUGAGUAAUGCCUAGGAAUCUGCCUGGUAGUGGGGGACAACGUUUCGAAAGGAACGCUAAUACCGCAUACGUCCUACGGGAGAAAGCAGGGGACCUUCGGGCCUUGCGCUAUCAGAUGAGCCUAGGUCGGAUUAGCUAGUUGGUGAGGUAAUGGCUCACCAAGGCUACGAUCCGUAACUGGUCUGAGAGGAUGAUCAGUCACACUGGAACUGAGACACGGUCCAGACUCCUACGGGAGGCAGCAGUGGGGAAUAUUGGACAAUGGGCGAAAGCCUGAUCCAGCCAUGCCGCGUGUGUGAAGAAGGUCUUCGGAUUGUAAAGCACUUUAAGUUGGGAGGAAGGGUUGUAGAUUAAUACUCUGCAAUUUUGACGUUACCGACAGAAUAAGCACCGGCUAACUCUGUGCCAGCAGCCGCGGUAAUACAGAGGGUGC
This 475-nucleotide ribosomal RNA is filed under the name Pseudomonas sp. RNAcentral describes it as "bacterial SSU rRNA". It matches the Rfam family "Bacterial small subunit ribosomal RNA", at positions 64 to 535 of the family's 1533-position model. Lineage: Bacteria; Pseudomonadati; Pseudomonadota; Gammaproteobacteria; Pseudomonadales; Pseudomonadaceae. The record is from RNAcentral.